UCGAGAAUUUUUCUCAAUGGGGGCAACCCUGAAGGAGCGACGCCGCGUGGAGGAUGAAGGCUUUCGGGUUGUAAACUCCUGUCAUUUGAGAACAAGUGUAGCCAAGUAACUACUGGCUACUUGAUAGUAUCAGAAGAGGAAGGGACGGCUAACUCUGUGCCAGCAGCCGCGGUAAUACAGAGGUCCCAAGCGUUGUUCGGAUUCAUUGGGCGUAAAGGGUGCGUAGGUGGCGUCGUAAGUCGGGUGUGAAAUCUCGGGGCUUAACUCCGAAACUGCAUUUGAUACUGCGGUGCUUGAGGACUGGAGAGGAGACUGGAAUUUACGGUGUAGCAGUGAAAUGCGUAGAGAUCGUAAGGAAGACCAGUGGCGAAGGCGGGUCUCUGGACAGUUCCUGACACUGAGGCACGAAGGCCAGGGGAGCAAACG
This 426-nucleotide ribosomal RNA is filed under the name uncultured Candidatus Udaeobacter sp. RNAcentral describes it as "bacterial SSU rRNA". It matches the Rfam family "Bacterial small subunit ribosomal RNA", at positions 355 to 774 of the family's 1533-position model. The record is from RNAcentral. Lineage: Bacteria; Pseudomonadati; Verrucomicrobiota; Spartobacteria; Chthoniobacterales; Chthoniobacteraceae.